AGUCAUGUGAUAAACACAUAGUGAAUUAUUCUUUCGCCUUUUACUAAAGAAUACCGUAUGUUUGUCACAUUGAGUGACAUACGUCUAUUUUUGAAAGAGUUCUUCCUGAAAAACUCU
RNAcentral lists this small nuclear RNA (117 nucleotides) under Phaseolus vulgaris (common bean). Its description in RNAcentral is "snRNA U5". It matches the Rfam family "U5 spliceosomal RNA". Rfam says of the family: U5 RNA is a component of both types of known spliceosome. The precise function of this molecule is unknown, though it is known that the 5' loop is required for splice site selection and p220 binding, and that both the 3' stem-loop and the Sm site are important for Sm protein binding and cap methylation. The record is from Rfam by way of RNAcentral. Lineage: Eukaryota; Viridiplantae; Streptophyta; Magnoliopsida; Fabales; Fabaceae.